Mustela lutreola (European mink) is the source of this 353-nucleotide long non-coding RNA. RefSeq lists it as uncharacterized. Lineage: Eukaryota; Metazoa; Chordata; Mammalia; Carnivora; Mustelidae. The transcript is spliced from 3 exons. The record is from RefSeq and is a predicted model, not a curated record.
CUUGAGAGCCACCGGACAAGCCAAAGGGUCCACAGCUGCGGGGAGAGAGACAACUCUUCAACUCCAAACCUUGAGGUUGGACAAUAACCAUGGGAGGUAGGCGGGGAAGGUCUGAUUACUACCGGAUCGCUGCUGGAAACACUGUUCAUCAGGAAGACUAAGGAAGAUAAUGGUGGCCCUUUCUUCCCAGACGGGGAGGGCAUCUCUCUCAGGAGCGUUUCUGACUUGUUUCAGGGGAGAGGGGCAGAGGGAAGGUCAGAGUGAUCUUCCUGCUCCUGCUGUCUUCUCAGACUCAGCUUAAACUCUUCAAUAUGGCAAGGUGCCUCGUUUUGGGGUAGCGUGUCUGGAACCCC